CCUACGGGUGGCUGCAGUGAGGAAUAUUGGUCAAUGGGCGCGAGACUGAACCAGCCAAGUAGCGUGAAGGAUGACUGUCCUACGGGUUGUAAACUUCUUUUAUAAGGGAAUAAAGUGAGGCACGUGUGCCUGGUUGUGUGUACUUUAUGAAAAAGGAUCGGCUAACUCCGUGCCAGCAGCCGCGGUAAUACGGAGGAUGCGAGCGUUAUCCGGAUUUAUUGGGUUUAAAGGGAGCGUAGAUGGGUUGUUAAGUCAGUUGUGAAAGUUUGGGGCUCAACCGUAAAAUUGCAAUUGAUACUGGCAGUCUUGAGUACGGUUGAGGUAGGCGGAAUUCGUGGUGUAGCGGUGAAAUGCAUAGAUAUCACGAAGAACUCCGAUUGCGAAGGCAGCUUACUAAACUGCCACUGACAUUGAUGCUCGAAAGUGUGGGUAUCAAACAGGAUUAGAUACCCGAGUAGUC
Molecule: ribosomal RNA, 460 nt
Filed under: uncultured bacterium
Lineage: Bacteria
Description: partial 16S ribosomal RNA
Rfam family: Bacterial small subunit ribosomal RNA
Source: RNAcentral